Molecule: ribosomal RNA, 468 nt
Filed under: uncultured bacterium
Lineage: Bacteria
Description: partial 16S ribosomal RNA
Rfam family: Bacterial small subunit ribosomal RNA
Source: RNAcentral
GACGAACGCUGGCGGCGUGCUUAACACAUGCAAGUCGAACGGAAAGGCCCUGCUUUUGUGGGGUGCUCGAGUGGCGAACGGGUGAGUAACACGUGAGUAACCUGCCCUUGACUUUGGGAUAACUUCAGGAAACUGGGGCUAAUACCGGAUAGGAGCUCCUGCUGCAUGGUGGGGGUUGGAAAGUUUCGGCGGUUGGGGAUGGACUCGCGGCUUAUCAGCUUGUUGGUGGGGUAGUGGCUUACCAAGGCUUUGACGGGUAGCCGGCCUGAGAGGGUGACCGGCCACAUUGGGACUGAGAUACGGCCCAGACUCCUACGGGAGGCAGCAGUGGGGAAUAUUGCACAAUGGGCGGAAGCCUGAUGCAGCAACGCCGCGUGCGGGAUGACGGCCUUCUGGUUGUAAACCGUUUUCGCCUGUGACGAAGCGUGAGUGACGGUAAUGGGUAAAGAAGCACCGGCUAACUACGUG